CCCCUAGUAGCUCAAAGGACAGAGCAAUGGAUUUCUACCCCAUAGGUUGCAGGUUCGAGUCCUGCCUAGGGGA
Molecule: transfer RNA, 73 nt
Rfam family: tRNA
About the family: Transfer RNA (tRNA) molecules are approximately 80 nucleotides in length. Their secondary structure includes four short double-helical elements and three loops (D, anti-codon, and T loops).
Source: Rfam